UUUCACAUUGUCAACCUAGAGUCGGUCUCAGCAACAUCCAAACUUUUGCAAAGUUGGAUGUGCAAAUUGGGCUGUAAAAUGAAAGCGUUUUAGCUGAUUACUAGCAAUGCGGAUGGAGAAAGUGUUUGUGUCAGCCUGGGGGCGGUGCAGGCAGCGCAGAAUCUACUUGGAAGGGACUGUUCUCACUUGUCUACAUCACAAUGUGAGGACCCACUUGUUUUCAUGGGUUGGGAGGGGCUGGCUCUCAGAGCGCAGGUUUUUAGAGGAAUACUCAGAAAUGUGUGAACAGAUCAAAUACCGCUUUGGGGUUUCUUCAAGGAAAUGUUAAAGUAAUCAACAUUAUAUUACACUUUAAAAGCUCAAAAAUGAAUUUCGCAUGGCAUGAACUCUUUAAAUUCACUAAAAACAACAAUUCCCAGAGCCCCAACCCUGUCAUAUUUAGUUUGAUUGAAAAGCUCCAAAUGUCAUCUAUAGUUACCAAAGCAGUUAUUUCAGUAGUAAGUAGUGGUUGGGCAACAUUCAGGUUUAGAAAUGUCCUUUAAAUUAGGCACAUUUGCAUUGCUUGUAGUCAGGAGGUUUAUACAAAGAGGCAAAACAGUUUAGAAUUAAAUGCUGUUGGAAAAUUAAACCGAUGGCCUAUUUCCAUUUUUUAAUAAGUCUUUUAGUCAAAGCAAGUUUUUGUGGGUAAAUAAAUUCAACAAUACCCAGGUAUUUAUCCAAAAUUACUUGAAUUGUUUCAACAGCCUCAGUCAGUUAAUAAAAAGAAAUAAAUUGAAUGCUCAGUAAAGUAAAUUGUACUGGUACUUUACAGAAAAAUGAAAAGCACAUCUCAGACCUUCUGUCAAUUUGACUUUUUGUAGGCAUCCUUUCAUUUUUGUGCUUUUUUAUGUGCCCGUCUUCAGCAUUAGAAUGUAAUUGGAUGAAACCUUGAUUUUAUUUCCCACCUGCAUGCAGGUCCAGCAGACAUUCAGGCUGGGUACCAUCUAUUUUGAAUUGAUUUCCGGAAACAGACGCCAGAAAAUGAGGAUCCUCGUCUGUCUGAGGAUGAAAUUGUUCCUCCUGCAUGUUCCCAUGGAACUCCUCCUGUGUUUGCAGGGACCAGAUGAAUGGAACUUUAGUGGAGUGGAUAAAUCUUUCCUUGUGUUGGAGAAAGCUGCUCCUCCGUGCACACAGUGGGGAAGGUUACAGAUGAAGCUGAGCUUGUCUGUUCCAACGUGGUGUUCUGCAGCCAUAACCUCUGUAAAAAGAGAACUGGUUGGAAAAAGAAAAGUCCUGUUAUGAAGGUUUCCAGUUGAAAACCAGAAGAUUUUCCUAAAGGUUUACUUACAUCCGUCCAUGUUUUACAACUCCAUCCCUCUCCCUGAGCUCCAUCCUGCAGACUGUCUGGAUCCGUCUUCAGAAAACAGCUGCACACUCCCCAACCAGGCCAUCAUCUCCAAAUGUGAACGUUAGCAAUUAAUUGUCCACAGUCUAUACCCUUUAUUGGAAUUUCAUUAGUUUUAGCCCAGAACAUUCUGUUUAUUAUUAUUUUUUAAUAAUCUAGGUUUCAGAAAGAAACAAUAACUGGCACGCAGUGACUGUUGUUCUUCUGGUUAGGUCCUCCAAUGAGUCAAAUUGUUGUACUUUAGUCAGAUGUCUCCAUUAACACGAACCACAUGCUGCAAAGAACAUGAGGCAGAACUAAGGAACACCUAAGAUCCCUUGGAACACUGAGUGCUUUUCAUUAACAACUAUAUACAUCUAAAUACACGGUUAAAUUCUGACCUAAACAAGAUCACCAAAGGGAUUCAGAGAAAUAGAAGAGGACCACAUUUACUAUCACUAUUUCCUGUCAAACUGCUCUGGUCCAGUGUUCAGAGAAGAAAGGGAAGGGAAGAAAGAGAGGGAAAGAGCUCUCACAGCACACCUGUGAAGUGUGCACCUGCGCUAUGUGCCAGCACUGAAAUGGUGCUGACCCAUUUUUUCCUGCUCUCUAGCAGCAACAGACAGCUUGCAUCCUGUCACUUGAGGGAAUUUCUUCCCUUGGGUGACAAAUUGAAAAAAAGGGCACUUUGGAUAUCUAAAUUAAUGAUAAACAUUUGAAAGGAAAUUAAGAUUAAAAAGAGAAAGGAAGGCAUGAAGUUUAAUGCAUAAAACAUGAAGGAAUCUUUUUUUUAAGAAGAAGAAGACAAAAAUGGAACUUUUUAAAAGAAUAAUAAAUAAAUAAAACCCUUUUUGGUUGUGUUUUCUUCGUCGAACAAGAAAGUAAUCAAUCCAAGGGAUAGAAGACAAGCAUGAAGUAGUCUAAACACCUACUAUUUUUUUUAACAAUAAUGUUGAUAUUGAUGAUGUUGUUGAGCUGCUGCCACAACCAAUUUCCCUCAUGGAAUGAAUAAAGUAUC
This is a non-coding RNA of Oryzias latipes (Japanese medaka), 2381 nucleotides long. The record is from RefSeq and is a predicted model, not a curated record. NCBI's taxonomy places the organism in Eukaryota, Metazoa, Chordata, Actinopteri, Beloniformes, Adrianichthyidae.